GGGACUGUAGCUCAGUGGUAGAGCACAUGCCUUAUAUUUAUGAGACCCUCAGUACUA
RNAcentral lists this transfer RNA (57 nucleotides) under Erinaceus europaeus (western European hedgehog). It matches the Rfam family "tRNA". From Rfam's summary of the family: Transfer RNA (tRNA) molecules are approximately 80 nucleotides in length. Their secondary structure includes four short double-helical elements and three loops (D, anti-codon, and T loops). Further hydrogen bonds mediate the characteristic L-shaped molecular structure. tRNAs have two regions of fundamental functional importance: the anti-codon, which is responsible for specific mRNA codon recognition, and the 3' end, to which the tRNAs corresponding amino acid is attached (by aminoacyl-tRNA synthetases). tRNAs cope with the degeneracy of the genetic code in two manners: having more than one tRNA (with a specific anti-codon) for a particular amino acid; and 'wobble' base-pairing, i.e. permitting non-standard base-pairing at the 3rd anti-codon position. The record is from Rfam by way of RNAcentral. Lineage: Eukaryota; Metazoa; Chordata; Mammalia; Eulipotyphla; Erinaceidae.